UCAUCCCAGAGACCAAGGACAAUACGUGAAGUUGCUCUCAGAGGACAAGAUCCCUGUGCACACAGCUGACAUGGCCUCCUGGCUGACUUUAAUGUCAUGAUGGAGUCCUCGGAAUGAAAGAGCAGCUGGGAAAAGGAUAGCAAAUGGAAGUGCAGCCACACCCAAACUCAGCAAUAUGUCUAUCUCCAUUGUGGAUUUGACCUCCAUACCUCUUCUUUACUGCCAUCUUUGGAGCCUUUUGUGGUUUGUAAUUUUACAUGGCAGUAGACAGCCUCUUAUAUGAUUCCAUUGAAGCCAGUCAUUGGCUGGCUAGUCAGAAAGUCCUAGGAAUUCCUGGAGGCUUCUCAAGGCUGCCUGUGUCACUCUUUUUGCAAAGACAACAAAACGACAAAACAGAUCAGCAGAGGGUGAUCUGCCAGCAUAACCAAUGAGAUGCAACCCCCUCCAACCGGCCUGUCAUCACGAAGCCGUUCUCUGUUUCUAAAAUAAGCCCUGAAAUCACUGCCUUCCUGCAUCUGCACUUCUUCCUCAGAAAGAGAGAUGUUCUCCCAACUCACAGGAAAUUUAAAUAUAGAACAAGGUGAGCACAUAGAAGAUGGUGAAAAGAUACACAAGUGGAAGGUUUCUGGAAGAGUAUGUGAACUUGAGAACUUCAGCAUCCUAAGAAUUUGCAGACAUUGGCGAGGAGGAAGAGUCUUGGACUACCUACACGUCAUGAAAUGGUGUGUUUGAAGCCAAUUGUCCUGUUGAGAUCGUACAAGAGGAGGUCACUGUAGCUGACACCAGGAUUACAUAAAUUUGAGACACCUCAUUCACUUUACAGAUAAUUUUCUAAUGUAAAAUGCAUACGUCUUUUAAAAAGACAAAUGAAUCAAAAAUGGUAUUAUUAAAAUAAAUUAUGACAUGCAUAUAAGAUGGAGUGUCAUUAAAAUAUAGGAAGGACAUUAUUGUCAUCUUCCCGAAGUUGUCAUAGGGCAUGGCCGAGCAGGAGUGACUAUGGGCCCUGUCAGGGCGUCAGCCCAGGUGUCACUGACCGGUGUGGAGUCCUUGCCUCAUGGCAGCAGAACAGCUGUCAGCUCAGCCCGAGUUGCCUGGAGGUGGUGAGCAAGGUCCCAGGGUCCUGUCUGAGUAUUUGGGCCAGGUAGGGAGGGCCUUGAACUGAGCAAACUCCUAGAUACCGGGCUGGGACAGUUUGUGCAGCCCUUACUAUAUAAAUGCACAUAUUGUAUAACAAUACAUUUAUCAAUGUAUUAAAAAUACUUCUUAUUAAUAGUGGGCUUUGAAAUAAUUUUAUUUUUUGUUUUGGUUACU
Molecule: long non-coding RNA, 1311 nt
Organism: Artibeus jamaicensis (Jamaican fruit-eating bat)
Lineage: Eukaryota; Metazoa; Chordata; Mammalia; Chiroptera; Phyllostomidae
Exons: 4
Source: RefSeq, a predicted model, not a curated record